Long non-coding RNA from Phacochoerus africanus (Common warthog), 1388 nucleotides. RefSeq lists it as uncharacterized. The transcript is spliced from 2 exons. The record is from RefSeq and is a predicted model, not a curated record. Lineage: Eukaryota; Metazoa; Chordata; Mammalia; Artiodactyla; Suidae.
CUCAGAGCAGCGCAUCUCCUCUGCUCAGGACCAGCCCUGCAUGCAUCAUUUCAUCCCUCGAUGCUGCACCUCCUGCCCCCACUUGUCAAAUGCAGCUCAGGAAGACCGAGCUCAUGAGAGGAAAGGCGCUCAGGCUUGCUACCUGUUUGCAAGGGAUGGGGGCUGACUCAGUCACCAUCACCUGAACACCACUCCUCCGACCAUCCACCCCAGUUCCUGCCUUCGCUGCAUGACUUACAAUCGUUCCCUGUAGAUGGUGACCUCGCCGAGGCAGUCAGCGGGACUGUUCAGACCCCUGCCGUAUCCCCAGGGGCCAGGGCACAGAAUGACGUCUGGCGUGUAUGAGGACUACACAUAUACAGGGGUUUGUGUUUUUGGACUGACUUUGCUUGGCAGUGACUUAAACUCGUCAUCAGAUUUCACCUAGGCCAACACACGAAAGGGAUCCGCCACCUGCAUUCCUCUGCUCUUUCUUCAGUUCCCUGUCCCGACACCCGAGUGGAGGGUAGGCUUGGGGAAAAUGGGGCCAGUGUUCAGAUCAGGACACAAGAUGACCGAUGGGCAAAAACGGGGUUUUAGUUUCACUUUAGCAGGGGGACCCACCACCAGGUCCCAGAGAAGUGAAAGGACACCACAGCAUCUCGUCACCAGCAUCUCAACACAAGGUGGAAGGGGACCCUGGAGGAGCUGCUGGGAUCUGGGCACACGACUUCAAGUUCCCUGUCCAGAUGAGGCAGGGAAGACCAGUUUGGGAAGCAAGACGCAUCACGAUCUGAAAAUUUAACCCGUGAACUGAAACCAGUGCCUACACGAAUAUUAUUCCCCAUUUAACACCAGUGGACACCCAGUCCCUUUACAUUUCAAGUCAACAGCCUCAGGCGGUGCUCGGAUGGCGGAGGGGUUGACAAAGUGAUGCAAGUCGCGUGCACGCCACGCAAGGGGAAAUACCUAGUGUUCUCAGUGAUGCGUGAGGUCAGUGAAAGCGACGCUGAAGAACAAUUCAAAUCACGGGAGGGCGUGUCGGACUGAAAAGACCCGCCUGCCGGAGACAACAGAUCCUUCAACACACAGCUUCAGUGACGACAGAGACCUGAGGAGGCCCUCAGGAAACUGGUGAAGCUCUCUCCAGUAUCUGACAAAAAUGACCUUCCUUAUGAGUCUGCUGGGAAAGCCAACUGAGAAGAGAAAGGGGUCCCCGACGGCUACUGUUCACCGCAUCAAAAUAAUUACGCGAAAAAUAAAUCAGCACUUUAUGUGUGCUAAGAACGGGGGCGCAGUUGCGACUACCGCUUAAAUUUUGCUAAACGCCACAUAAAACCCACUCAUUGCCCAAGUGUUCAAUUGUUUCCCAAAAUAAAGCCCUAAUAAAAUGUUUUUUUUUCCCAAUA